Molecule: ribosomal RNA, 253 nt
Filed under: uncultured bacterium
Lineage: Bacteria
Description: partial 16S ribosomal RNA
Rfam family: Bacterial small subunit ribosomal RNA
Source: RNAcentral
UACGUAGGGGGCAAGCGUUGUCCGGAUUUAUUGGGCGUAAAGAGCGUGUAGGCGGCUUGGUAGGUCCGCUGUGAAAACUCGAGGCUCAACCUCGAGAUGUCGGCGGAAACCACUUGGCUAGAGUCCGGAAGAGGAGAGUGGAAUUCCCGGUGUAGCGGUGAAAUGCGCAGAUAUCGGGAAGAACACCGGUGGCGAAGGCGGGACUCUGGGCCGAUACUGACGCUGAGGAGCGAAAGCGUGGGGAGCAAACAGG